This 440-nucleotide ribosomal RNA is filed under the name uncultured bacterium. Its description in RNAcentral is "partial 16S ribosomal RNA". It matches the Rfam family "Bacterial small subunit ribosomal RNA", at positions 338 to 795 of the family's 1533-position model. The record is from RNAcentral.
CCUACGGGUGGCAGCAGUGGGGAAUAUUGCACAAUGGGGGAAACCCUGAUGCAGCGACGCCGCGUGAGUGAAGAAGUAUUUCGGUACGUUAAGCUCUAUCAGCAGGGAAGAAAAUGACGGAUCCGUACUAAGAAGCCCCGGCUAACUACGUUCCAGCCGCCGCGGUAAUACGUAGGGGGCAAGCGUUAUCCGGAUUUACUGGGUGGAAAGGGGGCGUAGACGGCAGAGCAAGUCUGGAGUGAAAUCCCAUGGCUUAACCAUGGAACUGCUUUGGAAACUGUGCAGCUAGAGUGCAGGAGAGGUAAGCGGAAUUCCUAGUGUAGCGGUGAAAUGCGUAGAUAUUAGGAGGAACACCAGUGGCGAAGGCGGCUUACUGGACUGUAACUGACGUUGAGGCUCGAAAGCGUGGGGAGCAAACAGGAUUAGAUACCCCAGUAGUC